RNAcentral lists this ribosomal RNA (429 nucleotides) under Chloroflexota bacterium. Its description in RNAcentral is "Chloroflexi bacterium partial 16S ribosomal RNA". It matches the Rfam family "Bacterial small subunit ribosomal RNA", at positions 355 to 776 of the family's 1533-position model. Lineage: Bacteria; Bacillati; Chloroflexota. The record is from RNAcentral.
UGGGGAUUAUUCCACAAUGGGCGCAAGCCUGAUGCAGCCAUGCCGCGUGUAUGAAGAAUGCCUUCGGGUUGUAAACUACUUUCAGCGGGGAGGAAGGGAGUAAAGUUAAUACCUUUGCUCAUUGACGUUACCCGCAGAAGAAGCACCGGCUAACUCCGUGCCAGCAGCCGCGGUAAUACGGAGGGUGCAAGCGUUAAUCGGAAUUACUUGGCGUAAAGCGCACGCAGGCGGUUUGUUAAGUCAGAUGUGAAAUCCCCGGGCUCAACCUGGGAACUGGAUCUGAAACUGGGAAGCUUGAGUCUCGUAGAGGGGGGUAGAAAUCCAGGUGGAGCGGUGAAAAGCGUAGAGAACUGGAGGAAUACCGGUGGCGAAGGCGGCCCCCUGGACGAAGACUGACGAUCAGGUGGGAAAGCGUGGGGAGGAAACAGG